UUGGAGGGCAAGUCUGGUGCCAGCAGCCGCGGUAAUUCCAGCUCCAAUAGCGUAUAUUAAAGUUGUUGCAGUUAAAAAGCUCGUAGUUGAAUUUCGGGAUCAGCAGGUCGGUCGUGCCUUCGGUACGUACUGGUGUCGCUGAUUCCUCCCUCUUGACAAACCGUAAUGCCAUUAAUUUGGUGUUGCGGGGAAUCAGGACUGUUACUUUGAAAAAAUUAGAGUGUUUAAAGCAGG
Molecule: ribosomal RNA, 234 nt
Filed under: uncultured Glomeraceae
Lineage: Eukaryota; Fungi; Glomeromycota; Glomeromycetes; Glomerales; Glomeraceae
Description: partial 18S ribosomal RNA
Rfam family: Eukaryotic small subunit ribosomal RNA
Source: RNAcentral